CUUAGAGUUUGGGAAGAGAGAAAAAAUAAAAAAAAAUAUUUUUCUCUCUAUCUUUUUUUUACCUCUUCAUCUUCUCUAGAUGAUCAUCUUCAACAUUUGAAAAGGUUCCAGAGACUUGAAGAAAGGGAUCCAGAUUAGUCAAGAAGAAGACUUUAUGUGAGCUAGUACUCCCGCGAAGAUCGAUCAGGUCGGAGCUUUGAGUGAACUUUCUAUAG
This 215-nucleotide long non-coding RNA is filed under the name Elaeis guineensis (African oil palm). RNAcentral describes it as "long non-coding RNA (EGUI_LNC066933)". The record is from RNAcentral. Lineage: Eukaryota; Viridiplantae; Streptophyta; Magnoliopsida; Arecales; Arecaceae.